This 497-nucleotide ribosomal RNA is filed under the name uncultured bacterium. Its description in RNAcentral is "partial 16S ribosomal RNA". It matches the Rfam family "Bacterial small subunit ribosomal RNA", at positions 28 to 507 of the family's 1533-position model. The record is from RNAcentral.
GAUGAACGCUGGCGGCGUGCCUAAUGCAUGCAAGUCGAGCGAACAGACGAGGAGCUUGCUCCUCUGACGUUAGCGGCGGACGGGUGAGUAACACGUGGAUAACCUACCUAUAAGACCGGGAUAACUUCGGGAAACCGGAGCUAAUACCGGAUAAUAUAUUGAACCGCAUGGUUCAAUAGUGAAAGACGGUUUUGCUGUCACUUAUAGAUGGAUCCGCGCCGCAUUAGCUAGUUGGUAAGGUAACGGCUUACCAAGGCAACGAUGCGUAGCCGACCUGAGAGGGUGAUCGGCCACACUGGAACUGAGACACGGUCCAGACUCCUACGGGAGGCAGCAGUAGGGAAUCUUCCGCAAUGGGCGAAAGCCUGACGGAGCAACGCCGCGUGAGUGAUGAAGGUCUUCGGAUCGUAAAACUCUGUUAUUAGGGAAGAACAAAUGUGUAAGUAACUAUGCACGUCUUGACGGUACCUAAUCAGAAAGCCACGGCUAACUACGUG